Molecule: ribosomal RNA, 460 nt
Filed under: uncultured bacterium
Lineage: Bacteria
Description: partial 16S ribosomal RNA
Rfam family: Bacterial small subunit ribosomal RNA
Source: RNAcentral
CCUACGGGUGGCAGCAGUGAGGAAUAUUGGUCAAUGGACGAGAGUCUGAACCAGCCAAGUAGCGUGAAGGAUGACUGCCCUAUGGGUUGUAAACUUCUUUUAUCAAGGAAUAAAACGAGGCACGUGUGCCUUUUUGCAUGUACUUUAUGAAUAAGGAUCGGCUAACUCCGUGCCAGCAGCCGCGGUAAUACGGAGGAUCCGAGCGUUAUCCGGAUUUAUUGGGUUUAAAGGGAGCGUAGAUGGGUUGUUAAGUCAGUUGUGAAAGGUUGCGGCUCAACCGUAAAAUUGCAAUUGAUACUGGCAGUCUUGAGUACAGUUGAGGUAGGCGGAAUUCGUGGUGUAGCGGUGAAAUGCUUAGAUAUCACGAAGAACCCCGAUUGCGAAGGCAGCUUACUAAACUGUGACUGACAUUGAUGCUCGAAAGUGUGGGUAUCAAACAGGAUUAGAUACCCUGGUAGUC